RNAcentral lists this ribosomal RNA (408 nucleotides) under uncultured bacterium. RNAcentral describes it as "partial 16S ribosomal RNA". It matches the Rfam family "Bacterial small subunit ribosomal RNA", at positions 28 to 526 of the family's 1533-position model. The record is from RNAcentral.
GACGAACGCUGGCGGCGUGCUUAACACAUGCAAGUCGAACGAAGUGGCGAACGGGUGAGUAAUACGUGGGUAACCUGCCCUCCUUUUUGGGUUAAGCCUUGGAAACGGGGUCUAAUACCGAAUACAGGGGGAUGGGCUCGCGGCCUAUCAGCUCGUUGGUGGGGUGCUGGCCUACCAAGGCGGUGACGGGUAGCCAGCCUGAGCGGGUGGCCUGCAACAUAGGGACGGAGAUACGGCCGAGACGCGUACGGGAGACAGCAGUGGGGGAAAUUGCAAAAUGGGCGAAAGACGGAUGCAGCGACGGCGCAUAGGGGGUGAAGGCUUUCGGGUUGUAAAGCGAUUGCGCUAUCGAAAGGGUAGGUGGAGAGGAAGCGCCGGCUAAAUACGUGCCAGCAGCCGCGGUAAUAC